This 19-nucleotide small nuclear RNA is filed under the name Arabidopsis thaliana (thale cress). Its description in RNAcentral is "snRNA_07842". Lineage: Eukaryota; Viridiplantae; Streptophyta; Magnoliopsida; Brassicales; Brassicaceae. The record is from RNAcentral.
CGACCUUGAUCUUCUGAGA